UACGAAGGGGGCUAGCGUUGUUCGGAAUUACUGGGCGUAAAGCGCACGUAGGCGGACAUUUAAGUCAGGGGUGAAAUCCCGGGGCUCAACCCCGGAACUGCCUUUGAUACUGGGUGUCUCGAGUCCGGAAGAGGUGAGUGGAAUUCCGAGUGUAGAGGUGAAAUUCGUAGAUAUUCGGAGGAACACCAGUGGCGAAGGCGGCUCACUGGUCCGGUACUGACGCUGAGGUGCGAAAGCGUGGGGAGCAAACAGG
Molecule: ribosomal RNA, 253 nt
Filed under: uncultured bacterium
Lineage: Bacteria
Description: partial 16S ribosomal RNA
Rfam family: Bacterial small subunit ribosomal RNA
Source: RNAcentral